CCUACGGGUUGCAGCAGUAGGGAAUCUUCCGCAAUGGACGAAAGUCUGACGGAGCAACGCCGCGUGAGUGAUGAAGGCUUUCGGGUCGUAAAACUCUGUUGUUAGGGAAGAACAAGUGCUAGUUGAAUAAGCUGGCACCUUGACGGUACCUAACCAGAAAGCCACGGCUAACUACGUGCCAGCAGCCGCGGUAAUACGUAGGUGGCAAGCGUUAUCCGGAAUUAUUGGGCGUAAAGCGCGCGCAGGUGGUUUCUUAAGUCUGAUGUGAAAGCCCACGGCUCAACCGUGGAGGGUCAUUGGAAACUGGGAGACUUGAGUGCAGAAGAGGAAAGUGGAAUUCCAUGUGUAGCGGUGAAAUGCGUAGAGAUAUGGAGGAACACCAGUGGCGAAGGCGACUUUCUGGUCUGUAACUGACACUGAGGCGCGAAAGCGUGGGGAGCAAACAGGAUUAGAUACCCGUGUAGUC
RNAcentral lists this ribosomal RNA (466 nucleotides) under uncultured bacterium. RNAcentral describes it as "bacterial SSU rRNA". It matches the Rfam family "Bacterial small subunit ribosomal RNA", at positions 338 to 795 of the family's 1533-position model. The record is from RNAcentral.